This is a small nuclear RNA of 111 nucleotides. Its record names the gene U1. It matches the Rfam family "U1 spliceosomal RNA". Rfam says of the family: U1 is a small nuclear RNA (snRNA) component of the spliceosome (involved in pre-mRNA splicing). Its 5' end forms complementary base pairs with the 5' splice junction, thus defining the 5' donor site of an intron. The record is from Ensembl.
AUACUUACCUGGCAGGGGAGAUACCGUGAUCAAGUAGGCGGUUCACCCAGGGCGAGGCUCAGCCAUUGCAUAAUUUCUGGUAGUGGGGGACUGCGUUCGUGCUCUCCCCUG